RNAcentral lists this ribosomal RNA (945 nucleotides) under Triticum aestivum (bread wheat). RNAcentral's name for it is "partial small subunit ribosomal RNA". The record is from RNAcentral. Lineage: Eukaryota; Viridiplantae; Streptophyta; Magnoliopsida; Poales; Poaceae.
AUGCUCAGUGUUGCUUUACGCUACAAGAGUGUAUUUAAUCGCUUGAGGCAGCGGGAAAAGACCUUUACUUUUGCUCCUAGUGAUGAUGAUUGGAAAUUUUGUGGAGAAGUCUAUGAUAGGCUUAAGUUGUUUGCUAACAUUACUGAAAUACUUUCUGGGACUCAGUAUGUGACUGCUAAUAUUUACUUUCCUAAGAUCUGUGAAAUUAAAAUGAAUAUAAGGAAGUGGUCGAAGUGUGGGAAUGAAAUUAUAGAAGCUAUGUCAGAUGCUAUGAGUGCAAAAUUUGACAAGUACUGGUCUGAUAUCCAAGGCCUCAUGGGUAUUGCUACACUCCUUGAUCCACGGUUUAAGAUUGAUAUGCUGCAUGUGUGCUUUGAAAUGCUCCUUGGUGACGAGUCCAUUAUUGAUUGUGAGAGUAAAGUUCAUGAGAUCCGUGAGUUAGUGUCUAGCCUGAUGCUUGAAUAUCAAAUGGAGAGUGAGCAAGAGAAUACAGAAGCCCAGUCUGUGUCCAUUUCUGCAAUGGAAGCUAACGAGGUGAUGUCCAUCUUCAGUGCACGAGUAGCUAGAAAGAGGCCUGCACCCAGUUUAUCCAGAACAGAGUUAGACCGCUACUUGGAUGAUGAGUAUGUGCCAGCUAAUCAAGAGAAUUUUGAUGUGUUGGGAUGGUGGAAUGUUGCUGAUUCACGCUACCCAACUUUGAGGGCUAUUGCGCGUGAUAUAUUUGCCAUCCCAGUAACUACAAUAGCUUCCGAGUCAGCUUUCAGUAGAAGUGGAAGAGUACUUAGUGAGCACCGCAGUCGUCUGACCCCUGAUUUGCUAGAGGCUUUAAUGCGUUCACAAAACUGGGAGAGAAACAAAGCUAAAGAUGAUGAGAAGACCGAGGCUGCUAGUUUCUGGAGUUGCCUUGAUGAUAUACAAGAAGGUUUAGAGCGCAUCACACUAUAG